RNAcentral lists this long non-coding RNA (548 nucleotides) under Helianthus annuus (common sunflower). The record is from RNAcentral. Lineage: Eukaryota; Viridiplantae; Streptophyta; Magnoliopsida; Asterales; Asteraceae.
UCGGAGGAAAUAUGCACUUUCUCUUUUGAGAACUGUUUUUUUAUAUGCCAGAAGAGAUGAAGAGAUGAAGUAUUAAUUGGUAUGACCAGGGUUUAUUGGUUCAUUUUUUCGCUGUUAGAAUUUGGGCUUCUACUAUUCUAGCUAUGGCUUAGUUUGGCCAGUUUCUUUCAUUGCAGUUCACCUAUACGAGUAACGCGAUGCUGGUAUGAAGCAGACGUCAAAGAGUGACGAUAAAAGCAACCUCCUUUGUUUUGGGCGUUGCAUUAAUACAACAGGGAGCUACAACUGUACAUGUUGGCCAGGAUACAUCGGUGAUGCAAAAACACCAGAUGCUUGUCGACCAAUCUCUAAUGGUUCAAAAUUUCUAGUCAUGGUAUUCACAUUAGCUGCGUGGUUCUUUAUUAACAACAUCGGCCAUCGGCCAUGUUAAAACUUAAUUACUUAGUAAAUGGUCCAAUAUAGUUAGUGUUGUGCCUAUAUAUGUAUGUGUGUGUGACGUGACUUACGCCUAGCAGUAUCUAAAUGGAAAGAUUUUUAGUUUUUCAUGU